RNAcentral lists this ribosomal RNA (492 nucleotides) under uncultured bacterium. RNAcentral's name for it is "partial 16S ribosomal RNA". It matches the Rfam family "Bacterial small subunit ribosomal RNA", at positions 29 to 507 of the family's 1533-position model. The record is from RNAcentral.
AGUGAACGCUGGCGGUAGGCCUAACACAUGCAAGUCGAACGGCAGCACAGUAAGAGCUUGCUCUUACGGGUGGCGAGUGGCGGACGGGUGAGGAAUACAUCGGAAUCUACUUUUUCGUGGGGGAUAACGUAGGGAAACUUACGCUAAUACCGCAUACGACCUACGGGUGAAAGCAGGGGAUCUUCGGACCUUGCGCGAUUGAAUGAGCCGAUGUCGGAUUAGCUAGUUGGCGGGGUAAAGGCCCACCAAGGCGACGCUCCGGAGCAGUUAUGGGAGGAUGACCACCCACACUGUAAGUGAGAACCGGCCCACACCCCGGCGGGGGGACACGGUGGGGAAUAUUGGAGAAGGGGCGCAAGCGGGAUCCAGCAAAAUCGGGGGAGGGAGGAGGGCCUUCGGUUUGUAAAGCCAUUUUGUUGGGAAAGAAAAAAAGCGCUUGUAUCCCCGGUGAUCCUGACGUUACCCAAAGAAUAAGCCCCGGCUAACUCCGUG